UACAAGCAUAUACAUUGCUUCAAUUUGGCUUUGCUAGCCAAGCAAGCGUGGUGUUUGCUGAAUAAUCCGGAAUCAUUAUGUGCUACAAUCUUGAGAGCUAACUAUUUCCCGAAUGGUGAUUUAAUGAAUGCAAAUCUAAAGAAGGGUUCCUUUUUUACCUGGCAAAUCAUUAUGGCGAUGGUUAAUUCUCUAAGAAUGGUUAUAUUUGGUGAGUCGGAAAUGGACACAAUAUUGAUACUUGAGAAGAUGCAUGGAUCCCGAAUUGUGCAAAUAGAAAAAUCAUUACUCCUAGAAGGGGGCAACUUUUGUCAAAGGUCUCUAAUCUUAUUACACUAG
Molecule: ribosomal RNA, 336 nt
Filed under: Triticum aestivum (bread wheat)
Lineage: Eukaryota; Viridiplantae; Streptophyta; Magnoliopsida; Poales; Poaceae
Description: partial small subunit ribosomal RNA
Source: RNAcentral